GAAGUGGAUUGCCGUGGGGAGUGUAUACUACCACGGGGCCAUUAGGCGCGGCGCAAGCUGGAUUACCUUGAGUAGAUCCCUAUGAAUGAAAGGAAAGUGCUAAAGGAUAUUGGACAGUAAUGAAUGAUUACCAGUUACAGUGUACAGUAGUUACUUACACAUUUAUGCUUUUGUUCAUGCUUAUAGUAGUUGCUAUGCUUCUAUUAAUCAGUUGAUUCAUUACUGUUGAGA
Molecule: long non-coding RNA, 231 nt
Filed under: Ananas comosus (pineapple)
Lineage: Eukaryota; Viridiplantae; Streptophyta; Magnoliopsida; Poales; Bromeliaceae
Description: long non-coding RNA (ACOM_LNC037042)
Source: RNAcentral